UGUUGUCACUCACACACAGUUAGGCCUGUCGUACAGUGUACUCUUGCACAAACAGUCUGUGUUAUUUCAUCGCCCUGACUCGCGCCGGUGAGACAGUGAGCGUUACGUAUUGGGCCCAACCAAAUAUAAGUGGCCGUCUUCACAUUGAGAUGCCACAUCUGGUGCGCGGCUGCUGCGUAAUCCCUGAGCGAUCUUUCAGACGGGCUGCCGUCUGCCGCCAAAGAAAUAUCUCCAGGCGAAUGGCCCUUCCUUCGAGUCCCAGACGGCCACAUACAAGUGGUGACGCACAGGGUCAGAGGAGUUGCUCACCUUGAGAUCCGUGAAUGUGGAAGGCCCAUUCACGCUCAGCGUUACGUACGGAUCCAGCUACGAAAGGAGCCUUCUGUCUCUGUUUUGCGAUCAUUUUGUCCGUAUUUCCACAAAACUUAUGGACACGAACCAAACAGAGCAGUACCACUGGAAACCAUGGGGGGCAGUGUUGCUGUUAAUACCUGAUACGUAGCUCUAUUGAGACGCGAAGAAGACAUAACAGUGGUGGAAAUUCUCUCUCCUCCAGAUGUGAUAUAUUUAAGGCAAAUUCUGGCGCUGGAACUGGAAAUUGCUCAUGUUUUACCAACUAACGUUUACUGGUAAGCGCAUGCGGACAUAGUUAUGUCGCGCAAAGGUGAUAA
Molecule: long non-coding RNA, 671 nt
Organism: Synchiropus splendidus (mandarinfish)
Lineage: Eukaryota; Metazoa; Chordata; Actinopteri; Syngnathiformes; Callionymidae
Exons: 3
Source: RefSeq, a predicted model, not a curated record